RNAcentral lists this ribosomal RNA (407 nucleotides) under Actinomyces israelii. Its description in RNAcentral is "bacterial SSU rRNA". It matches the Rfam family "Bacterial small subunit ribosomal RNA", at positions 56 to 443 of the family's 1533-position model. Lineage: Bacteria; Bacillati; Actinomycetota; Actinomycetes; Actinomycetales; Actinomycetaceae. The record is from RNAcentral.
UGCAAUGUYGMWCGGGUCGGUGCCKKGKUUUYUGCKGGGUGGGUUAGUGGCGAACGGGUGAGUAACACGUGAGUAACCUGCCCCUCACUUCUGGAUAACCGCUUGAAAGGGUGGCUAAUACGGGGUGUUCUGGCUGUGCCGCAUGGUGUGGCUGGGAAAGAUUCACUUUUGUGGUGUUUUGGUGGGGGAUGGGCUCGCGGCCUAUCAGCUUGUUGGUGGGGUGAUGGCCUGCCAAGGCUUUGACGGGUAGCCGGCCUGAGAGGGUGGGCGGUCACACUGGGACUGAGAUACGGCCCAGACUCCUGCGGGAGGCAGCAGUGGGGGGUAUUGCACAAUGGGCGGAAGCCUGAUGCAGCGACGUCGCGUGAGGGAUGGAGGCCUUCGGGUUGUGAACCUCUUUCGCCGGU